This 253-nucleotide ribosomal RNA is filed under the name uncultured bacterium. Its description in RNAcentral is "partial 16S ribosomal RNA". It matches the Rfam family "Bacterial small subunit ribosomal RNA", at positions 524 to 776 of the family's 1533-position model. The record is from RNAcentral.
UACGUAGGGGGCAAGCGUUGUUCGGAAUUACUGGGCGUAAAGCGCACGUAGGCGGACAUUUAAGUCAGGGGUGAAAUCCCGGGGCUCAACCGAGGAAGUGCACCCGAAACUGCUGAGCUUGAGUGCCGGAGAGGAUGGCGGAAUUCCCCAAGUAGAGGUGAAAUUCGUAGAUAUGGGGAGGAACACCGGUGGCGAAGGCGGCCAUCUGGACGGUAACUGACGCUGAGACGCGAAAGCGUGGGGAGCAAACGGG